Molecule: ribosomal RNA, 1344 nt
Filed under: uncultured bacterium
Lineage: Bacteria
Description: 16S ribosomal RNA
Rfam family: Bacterial small subunit ribosomal RNA
Source: RNAcentral
GACGAACGCUUGCGGCGUGCUUAACACAUGCAAGUCGAACGGAAAGGCCCUGCUUUUGUGGGGUGCUCGAGUGGCGAACGGGUGAGUAACACGUGAGUAACCUGCCCUUGACUUUGGGAUAACUUCAGGAAACUGGGGCUAAUACCGGAUAGGAGCUCCUGCUGCAUGGUGGGGGUUGGAAAGUUUCGGCGGUUGGGGAUGGACUCGCGGCUUAUCAGCUUGUUGGUGGGGUAGUGGCUUACCAAGGCUUUGACGGGUAGCCGGCCUGAGAGGGGUGACCGGCCACAUUGGGACUGAGAUACGGCCCAGACUCCUACGGGAGGCAGCAGUGGGGAAUAUUGCACAAUGGGCGGAAGCCUGAUGCAGCAACGCCGCGUGCGGGAUGACGGCCUUCGGGUUGUAAACCGCUUUCGCCUGUGACGAAGCGUGAGUGACGGUAAUGGGUAAAGAAGCACCGGCUAACUACGUGCCAGCAGCCGCGGUGAUACGUAGGGUGCGAGCGUUGUCCGGAUUUAUUGGGCGUAAAGGGCUCGUAGGUGGUUGAUCGCGUCGGAAGUGUAAUCUUGGGGCUUAACCCUGAGCGUGCUUUCGAUACGGGUUGACUUGAGGAAGGUAGGGGAGAAUGGAAUUCCUGGUGGAGCGGUGGAAUGCGCAGAUAUCAGGAGGAACACCAGUGGCGAAGGCGGUUCUCUGGGCCUUUCCUGACGCUGAGGAGCGAAAGCGUGGGGAGCGAACAGGCUUAGAUACCCUGGUAGUCCACGCUGUAAACGGUGGGUACUAGGUGUGGGGUCCAUUCCACGGGUUCCGUGCCGUAGCUAACGCUUUAAGUACCCCGCCUGGGGAGUACGGCCGCAAGGCUAAAACUCAAAGGAAUUGACGGGGCCCCGCACAAGCGGCGGAGCAUGCGGAUUAAUUCGAUGCAACGCGUAGAACCUUACCUGGGUUUGACAUGGAUCGGGAGUGCUCAGAGAUGGGUGUGCCUCUUUUGGGGUCGGUUCACAGGUGGUGCAUGCCUGUCGUCAGCUCGUGUCGUGAGAUGUUGGGUUAAGUCCCGCAACGAGCGCAACCCUUGUUCACUGUUGCCAGCACGUUAUGGUGGGGACUCAGUGGAGACCGCCGGGGUCAACUCGGAGGAAGGUGGGGAUGACGUCAAGUCAUCAUGCCCCUUAUGUCCAGGGCUUCACGCAUGCUACAAUGGCUGGUACAGAGAGUGGCGAGCCUGUGAGGGUGAGCGAAUCUCGGAAAGCCGGUCUCAGUUCGGAUUGGGGUCUGCAACUCGACCUCAUGAAGUCGGAGUCGCUAGUAAUCGCAGAUCAGCAACGCUGCGGUGAAUACGUUCCCGGG